GAUGAAGAACGCAGCGAAAUGCGAUAAGUAAUGUGAAUUGCAGAAUUCCGUGAAUCAUCGAAUCUUUGAACGCACAUUGCGCCCCCUGGCAUUCCGGGGGGCAUGCCUGUCCGAGCGUCAUUUCUGCCCUCCAGCCCGGCUGGGUGUUGGGCGCUGUCCCCCCGGGGACACGCCCCAAAGGCAGUGGCGGCGCCGCGUCGGAUCCUCGAGCGUAUGGGGCUUUGUCACCCGCUCGGGACGGACUCGUCGGCGCUGGUCUUCCUCCAGGCGACCCUUCGGGGCUCGUCUUCCUUCGGUUGACCUCGGAUCAGGUAGGGUUACCCGCUGAACUUAAGCAUAUCAAUAAGCGGAGGA
This 354-nucleotide unclassified non-coding RNA is filed under the name soil metagenome. Its description in RNAcentral is "partial contains 5.8S ribosomal RNA, internal transcribed spacer 2, and large subunit ribosomal RNA". The stretch from base 1 to 120 matches the Rfam family "5.8S ribosomal RNA", at positions 35 to 154 of the family's 154-position model. The record is from RNAcentral.